RNAcentral lists this ribosomal RNA (433 nucleotides) under uncultured bacterium. Its description in RNAcentral is "partial 16S ribosomal RNA". It matches the Rfam family "Bacterial small subunit ribosomal RNA", at positions 29 to 507 of the family's 1533-position model. The record is from RNAcentral.
AACGAACGCUGGCGGCAGGCCUAACACAUGCAAGUCGAGCGAGGACUUCGGUCCUAGCGGCGGACGGGUGAGUAACGCGUGGGAACGUGCCCUUUGCUUCGGAAUAGCCCUGGGAAACUGGGAGUAAUACCGGAUGAGCCCUUUGGGGGAAAGAUUUAUCGGCGAAGGAUCGGCCCGCGUUGGAUUAGGUAGUUGGUGGGGUAAUGGCCUACCAAGCCGACGAUCCAUAGCUGGUUUGAGAGGAUGAUCAGCCACACUGGGACUGAGACACGGCCCAGACUCCUACGGGAGGAAGCAGUGGGGAAUCUUAGACAAUGGAGGAAACCCUGAUCUAGCCAUGCCGCGUGAGCGAUGAAGGCCUUAGGGUUGUAAAGCUCUUUCAGCUGGGAAGAUAAUGACGGUACCAGCAGAAGAAGCCCCGGCUAACUCCGUG